Oryctolagus cuniculus (rabbit) is the source of this 1112-nucleotide non-coding RNA. The record is from RefSeq and is a predicted model, not a curated record. Lineage: Eukaryota; Metazoa; Chordata; Mammalia; Lagomorpha; Leporidae.
UCUCUCUCUCUCUCUCUCUCUCGCUGUAACUCCACCUUUCAAAUAAAUCAAUAAAUAAAUCUUAAAGAGACAGUGAUUAUUUAGGAUAUGAGAUGUGAAGUGGCAUGGUAACUAUGUUGUAUGUGUGUGCAUAUGCACAAGGAUUCUUUACAAAACUCAUGGAAUGUGCAAUGGAAAGGUUUAUUAUGUGCAAAAACUUUAGAAAUCCACAUAUUUUAGAAUAUUAGGUAUUUUCCAUGAACUUCUAGGAGACCCUUCAUAUAUGUAUGUGUCUAUACCCUUUCCCUUAUAGAAAGAAUGUUUCAUGGAAAGACACCAACAUACCUACUAAAUUACAGACCACACUAUGUGAAAUAUAUGAUGAGGACUACAUAAUAGAAGAAAAAAAAGAAGUAUUUCUUACUCUAGGGGACUGGGAUAGGAUUACAUUUUCAGUAUUUAACUUAUUUACAUGGAACUUAGCCCUCUCAAGAAGUGACUUUCUACAGAAGGUCAUCAAAAAGCAUGGAAUCAAACAUGACAUAAACACUGAAGAAGCCCAAGUUUGUAAUACGCAUAAUAUGAAUAUAGUAGAUGGAGAAAGAGCAGAAUCCUAAUCAUAUUGCAACUAACCAUUCUCAAAACUGAAGGAUAUGAUUUUGUUAAAGUGAAGAUAGCUUUUCUGCACCAUCAAAGGUCAAACCUAAACAUGCAGAUAAUGGAACAUUAGUAACGUUUCCUGGGAGUGAUUAAUAAGAUAAUUGGUUGCUUUCAAGACUAGUUUUUGGAAUGAAAUUAAAGAUAAAUGAGACUUUAAUGUUUUGACAUUUCAUCCUAUUGAACAAUGGGUGGAAUCACAUGAGUUUAGAUGAUGCUUCCUACUAAUAAAAUCAUCUCCAUGGAUCGUACUCAGGAUUAUACUUCAUGGAUUACGUAGCCUGUAACUGAAGCAAAUAUCACCACAGGAUUAAACUUGCUUAUUCAACUGGAGCAAUUUCCACAUUUUAUCCAUGAUCUUUUUGAAAACCACACGGAGAAAACUAGUGCAGAAGCAACACGAUGUAAAAAUUCAUGGCAUUAUUUUAAACAUAAAAGAUUAUAAAUAAAGAACAAACUGCAUUAAAGAAUAAAAA